RNAcentral lists this ribosomal RNA (387 nucleotides) under uncultured bacterium. Its description in RNAcentral is "bacterial SSU rRNA". It matches the Rfam family "Bacterial small subunit ribosomal RNA", at positions 28 to 417 of the family's 1533-position model. The record is from RNAcentral.
GACGAACGCUGGCGGCGUGCUUAACACAUGCAAGUCGAGCGGUAAGGCCCUUUCGGGGGUACACGAGCGGCGAACGGGUGAGUAACACGUGGGUGACCUGCCCUCAGCUCUGGGAUAAGCCUGGGAAACCGGGUCUAAUACCGGAUAUGACUCCAUGACGCAUGUUGUGGGGUGGAAAGCCUUGUGCGGCUGAGGAUGGGCCCGCGGCCUAUCAGCUUGUUGGUGGGGGAUGGCCUACCAAGGCGACGACGGGUAGCCGGCCUGAGAGGGCGACCGGCCACACUGGGACUGAGACACGGCCCAGACUCCUACGGGAGGCAGCAGUGGGGAAUCUUGCGCAAUGGGCGAAAGCCUGACGCAGCGACGCCGCGUGAGGGAUGACGGCCU